UUACGGACAUAUCACGUAGAAACACCGGUUCCCGUACGAUCGCUGAAGUUAAGCAAUGUCGAGCCUAGUCAGUAUCUAAAUGGGUGACCGCUUAGGAAUACCAGCUAUUGUAA
This is a non-coding RNA of Acanthosepion pharaonis, 113 nucleotides long. Lineage: Eukaryota; Metazoa; Mollusca; Cephalopoda; Sepiida; Sepiidae. The record is from the annotation of a GenBank genome assembly.